Molecule: ribosomal RNA, 431 nt
Filed under: uncultured bacterium
Lineage: Bacteria
Description: partial 16S ribosomal RNA
Rfam family: Bacterial small subunit ribosomal RNA
Source: RNAcentral
AACGAACGCUGGCGGCAGGCUUAACACAUGCAAGUCGAGCGCCCCGCAAGGGGAGCGGCAGACGGGUGAGUAACGCGUGGGAACGUACCUUUUGGUUCGGAACAACUCCGGGACACUGGAGCUAAUACCGGAUAAGCCCUAACGGUGAAAGAUUUAUCGCCGAAAGAUCGGCCCGCGUCUGAUUAGCUAGUUGGUGAGGUAACGGCUCACCAAGGCGACGAUCAGUAGCUGGUCUGAGAGGAUGAUCAGCCACACUGGGACUGAGACACGGCCCAGACUCCUACGGGAGGCAGCAGUGGGGAAUAUUGGACAAUGGGCGCAAGCCUGAUCCAGCCAUGCCGCGUGAGUGAUGAAGGCCUUAGGGUUGUAAAGCUCUUUUGUCCGGGAAGAUAAUGACUGUACCGGAAGAAUAAGCCCCGGCUAACUUCGUG